Molecule: ribosomal RNA, 465 nt
Filed under: Escherichia coli
Lineage: Bacteria; Pseudomonadati; Pseudomonadota; Gammaproteobacteria; Enterobacterales; Enterobacteriaceae
Description: bacterial SSU rRNA
Rfam family: Bacterial small subunit ribosomal RNA
Source: RNAcentral
CACCUACGGGAGGCAGCAGUCGAGAAUUUUUCACAAUGGGCGCAAGCCUGAUGGAGCGACGCCGCGUGGGGGAUGAAUGGCUUCGGCCCGUAAACCCCUGUCAUUUGCGAACAAAUUGGUUAAUUAACACCUGAACCUUGAUAGUAGCGAAAGAGGAAGGGACGGCUAACUCUGUGCCAGCAGCCGCGGUAAUACAGAGGUCCCAAGCGUUGUUCGGAUUCACUGGGCGUAAAGGGGGCGUAGGUGGUGAGGUAAGUCGGAUGUGAAAGCUCGGAGCUCAACUCCGAAAUGGCAUUGGAAACUACCUUGCUCGAGGGUUGGAGGGGGGACUGGAAUGCUUGGUGUAGCAGUGAAAUGCGUAGAUAUCAAGCGGAACACCAGUGGCGAAGGCGAGUCCCUGGACAACUCCUGACACUGAGGCACGAAAGCUAGGGGAGCAAACAGGAUUAGAUACCCUAGUAGUCC